CUUCCGACAUUCAGCAUUACCGUAGUCGUCGUUACAGUUGUCUUUUCAGUAACAGCAAGAACACAAACAACAAGACAACCAAAUAAUAAUAAUAAUAAUAAUAAUAAUAAUAAUAAUAAUAAUAAUAAUAAUAAUAAUAAUGAUGAUUAUGAUGCUCUUCGAUAUUGGUAUUAAGUAAGGAAAAGAAGCCCUUACCAAACCGAAACGACAGUUAAGACGACAUUAACGAGAAUAACCAGAGCAAUAAAAAGAAAACCACAAAAAAAAUCAACCAAACAAACAAACAAACAAACAAGGAAGGAGUUAUAUUUUGCAGGAAAUCGUUCACUUUUAAGAAGAACCUUUCUCUUUCUUCUGGUCAUACCAAGAGCUGAAGAGCACGUACACAUACACACGCACAUACGCACACACAUGUACACAGACACACACGUUAACACACAGACACACACGUUAACACACAGACACAGACACAUACGCACACACACAGACACACAGACACACACACACAUCCAAAAGCAAAAAUGAAUAUACAUUAGCAAAUGCACAAUCUCUUAAUUAGCAUACACAUAUUGCAAACAACAUAAGUAGACAUAUUCUCACAUACACAUAUAUACAAUAAGCAUUAACACAAAUAUACAUACAAUCCACCACACAAAUACAACACUCUUGCAUACACGCAUAUUCUCUCUGUGUGUCUGUGUCUUUCUCUUUCAUUCGGUCUCACAAUCUCAUUGUUCUUGUUCUCUCCCCUUCUCUCAGUCCCUCGCUCGCUCACUCACACACUCACUCACUCACUCACUCACUUACUUACUCACUCACUCACUCACUCACUCACUCACUCAGUCUCUCUCUCUUUUCUCUCUCUCUCCUGCUCUUUCGUACACAAAUACACACACGAAAAACACGUAGGGACAUGGACAGAGAUAUAUAUUCAUAAACACAUGUAAAUAGAUGCACACGCACUCACAAAAACGUUAAUAUAGAUAUACACACAAACACACACGCACACAGAAAGCAUAUACUCAUCUAUCUAUCUAUCUAUCUAUCUAUCUGUCUGUCUCUCUCUGUCUGUCUGUCUCUCUUUGUGUAUAUAUAUACGUGCAUUCACAAACAUAUAUAUAUAUAUAUAUAUACAUACAUAUACAUACAUAUAUCUACAUACACACACACAUAUAUAUAUAUACACCCAUACAUGUAUGUAUAUAUGGAUCUUUUCCCACAAACACACAUUCAGUUUACAGAUAUCAAUUGAUGACCCAGACGUAACCGCGUUGUCAGUAACACAUAUGUGUGAGCAUCAGUUCGGGAAAAGCUUGGCCGAACGGGCUGCCGUGUGUUCCAGCGUGGUCAACACGACCGCUUUAAUAGCAAGAAGAAUUGCUUAACAGUAUCUUUACCUCAUACUGACACCACUGUACAACCACAGCUGGUUUUUCUCUUAUAUCGCCCCUCGACAUCCCUCCCCUUUGAGAACCUAGCUUGUAAAAACCUCUUUGGUUUUUCACGUACAUUUUUGCAAGUCGUCUGCCAACACCAGUCUACGAAUGACCUGGAAUCAGGACCCCGACAAGACGGCACAGAAAAUGGUGAAGGUGGUUGAGACGGGUGUAUUCGUCCUCUCUGGCCUUCACUUCUUUGUUGGACUGGUCAGUGUGUGUGUCGGAGUAGUGUCCAGUAUUAAGGCCGAAGUAUGGUUAGCACACAGCGUAUCACCAAUAUGGAGCGGUGGAUUUUUCAUUAUCACAGGCAUAUUAGGUGUGUGUUCCACACGAAGGAAAUCCCCAUACUUGAUCAUGUGCUUCAUUGCCAUUUCCGUGGUUUCUUUGGUGACUGCUGUUGUCAGCAUCCAAUUGCUACGUCUUGGACUGGUCAGUCAUACAACGGAUGGACAUACUUUCCAAAAAGAAAAGAAGGAUAUUCUGAUUCUGAUAGCUCUUGGUGGAGCCGGAUUCGAGGGUUUAGUUUGCUUAUUGUGUAUCUUGUUUGGUUGUAAGUUGUCCAAGGUAACCAAAGAAGAACUGUCUAAAAAACGGGAAGGAAUGUUUCACGUGAAAGUUCUAGGACAAAAAGAUAUUGUGGUGGUGUCUCAAACGAAGACUGAGGCCUAUAAUAACACAACAGCCUUGUGAUGUUAAAAUGAUCCUAAAUUGAAAAAGGAAAAAAAUAUUAAAAAAAAAAAAGAUUAAAAUAAACUUAGUUUCAGAAAAUAAAAAUGUGACACAGACUAUUGCCAGAACUAUGAAUGCUAGCUCAAGCAAAAUAAUAAAAAUGCAAAGCAUUUUAGCUCCUGCUGCUACAAUCCAGCUCGCUAAAAAUCAUUUCCAAGAAUAGCUGCAAACUGAAUGCUGUAACUUUCCUGCACAUAUACUUUCCUGCAUCCUCUUCAGGUGUAAGUGUUGUAAAUUAAGUCACAUUCAUGCCAUGGAAACCUGGGUAAACCUUGGCUUUUACAUUCCUAGAACUCACGACAGACCAAACUCUAAGUCUUAUUUAAGUACUAAUUAAUAUAUAUUCUUACACACACACACACACACUGACACAUACACACACAAUAUAUAUGUAUGCAGUCAUAAUACAUAAUACACAUAUAUGUAUGCAUAUAUAUACUGUCAUCUAUACUUAUGA
Molecule: RNA transcript, 2625 nt
Organism: Octopus bimaculoides (California two-spot octopus)
Lineage: Eukaryota; Metazoa; Mollusca; Cephalopoda; Octopoda; Octopodidae
Gene name: transmembrane protein 196-like
Source: RefSeq, a predicted model, not a curated record